GGUCAAGCUACAAGGGGCUCACGGAGGAUACCUA
RNAcentral lists this ribosomal RNA (34 nucleotides) under uncultured cyanobacterium. Its description in RNAcentral is "partial 23S ribosomal RNA". The record is from RNAcentral. Lineage: Bacteria; Bacillati; Cyanobacteriota.